GAGUUUGAUCUUGGCUCAGAACGAACGCUGGCGGCAUGCCUAACACAUGCAAGUCGAACGGGAUCCGGACUUCGGUUCGGUGAGAGUGGCGGACGGGUGAGUAACGCGUGGGAACCUGCCCAGUGGUGGGGGAUAACUGCGGGAAACUGCAGCUAAUACCGCAUGAGCCCGAGAGGGGAAAGAUUUAUCGCCAUUGGAGGGGCCCGCGUUCGAUUAGGUAGUUGGUGAGGUAAUGGCUCACCAAGCCGACGAUCGAUAGCUGGUCUGAGAGGAUGAUCGGCCACACUGGGACUGAGAUACGGCCCAGACUCCUACGGGAGGCAGCAGUGGGGAAUAUUGGACAAUGGGGGCAACCCUGAUCCAGCAAUGCCGCGUGAGUGAUGAAGGCCUUC
This 392-nucleotide ribosomal RNA is filed under the name uncultured Alphaproteobacteria bacterium. RNAcentral describes it as "bacterial SSU rRNA". It matches the Rfam family "Bacterial small subunit ribosomal RNA", at positions 9 to 419 of the family's 1533-position model. The record is from RNAcentral. Lineage: Bacteria; Pseudomonadati; Pseudomonadota; Alphaproteobacteria.